Molecule: long non-coding RNA, 619 nt
Organism: Neodiprion virginianus
Lineage: Eukaryota; Metazoa; Arthropoda; Insecta; Hymenoptera; Diprionidae
Exons: 2
Source: RefSeq, a predicted model, not a curated record
CUAAUGAUUGCACCGCUCGAGAAACCAGGAUCCUUGCCACCUAAACGUUUUGACCAUCAGGCAAAAGAAACGGCAGCACUUUUUGAAAGGCCACCAAUGGCCAGACGAGGGGUGAUCAGAAGAGUGGAGAUUGGUCUCCCAGUGUUAUCGGACGAUUGUCUUGUAAGUUAUUGUUUUGUUUCCUAAUUUUUCAUUAAUAGCAUGAUUUACACUGUAAUAUUAACUGUUGUUCUUUUUCUCUUUUUAUUCUUGGAUAUCUGGUGAACCCUCUUUGUUAACGGAACAUUGAUUGUUGUACAAUGGAGCUGCAAAAACUUUGUCAACUAAUCAAUGAUGUCGGCGAGGUUUUUUGUGAGUAUUGCGUCGGGUACGUUUUCUGUUAAUUGCUACUCUUUGUCCUCCUAAGCUUCGUGUUUAAGAUGAAUAAUUUCUUUAUUCCUUGUUACUCAUCUCUUUUAUUUAUUUCAUGUUCAUCGGCACUAAUUACUGACUUCUGGAGCACUGCACCGUAACGAAUCUACUCUGGAAAUACCUUCUACUGGGUCUCAACCAUUCAUUUAUUUUUAAUUUUAUGUAAAUAAAGAAUCUGUUCACAAUAAACAUUGUUUUUACUUACCUA